UUUUCCAACCCUUCUCUUUCCAUCUCGAACCUCAACCCAUCUUCUCCAAAUGUGAAGAAUAAACACAAAUCUCUAAAAUUCAAAAUAUUAUUUGCUCAAUCUUUUUAUCACUAGCAUGUAAAUUGAACUCAAUUGUUCAAGCAAAAAGGUUUUUUUUUAAAAAGGAUUAGUAAUAUCUUUGAAGCCCUAAUCUAUAGAUGGAACCAUGAAAGAAUGUAUUUGGGGCAAAAUAUGAAAUCAUAAACAAAAAGCGCUUACUUCACAAGAUAUGAAUUUGUUAAUUUUAAUAUAAAAUGAAAAGGAGAAGAUUUUGAGUGAGGAAGAUUCACAAACAUAAUGAUGGGUGUCCCAAGUGAGCCAAACAAUAUAGAUGGAUCCAACCGGGUAUGUACUGAACGACAUAUCGACUGACGUUCAAAAGUCUCGCUGAUUCAGCUGACGUGGUAGCCACUAUAUCAAUAACCUUCAGUGCCUUCGUCUUCAGAGAUUAAAUCACUGCUUUCAGUGUUGUUGUCCUCGUGGCUGUCACACAUUUGACCCAACAAUUACAAUUUUUAGAAAGAAGUGACUUGUGUGGAAUAUGAUUUUUGUUAUCAUAAUUUUUUAGAAGCUUCCUUUCCCUUUGCUGUUUAAUUUAAUUCAUGAAGGUGAUGGUUUGAUUCAACCAAGGGCUUUGUUUUUUGAAAUAGGUUUGCGCUUCAUGUGAUGAUUAAUACUUG
Molecule: long non-coding RNA, 719 nt
Filed under: Cicer arietinum (chickpea)
Lineage: Eukaryota; Viridiplantae; Streptophyta; Magnoliopsida; Fabales; Fabaceae
Description: long non-coding RNA (CARI_LNC000634)
Source: RNAcentral